Molecule: ribosomal RNA, 1587 nt
Filed under: Phocaeicola vulgatus
Lineage: Bacteria; Pseudomonadati; Bacteroidota; Bacteroidia; Bacteroidales; Bacteroidaceae
Description: bacterial SSU rRNA
Rfam family: Bacterial small subunit ribosomal RNA
Source: RNAcentral
UAUUACAAUGAAGAGUUUGAUCCUGGCUCAGGAUGAACGCUAGCUACAGGCUUAACACAUGCAAGUCGAGGGGCAGCAUGGUCUUAGCUUGCUAAGGCCGAUGGCGACCGGCGCACGGGUGAGUAACACGUAUCCAACCUGCCGUCUACUCUUGGACAGCCUUCUGAAAGGAAGAUUAAUACAAGAUGGCAUCAUGAGUCCGCAUGUUCACAUGAUUAAAGGUAUUCCGGUAGACGAUGGGGAUGCGUUCCAUUAGAUAGUAGGCGGGGUAACGGCCCACCUAGUCUUCGAUGGAUAGGGGUUCUGAGAGGAAGGUCCCCCACAUUGGAACUGAGACACGGUCCAAACUCCUACGGGAGGCAGCAGUGAGGAAUAUUGGUCAAUGGGCGAGAGCCUGAACCAGCCAAGUAGCGUGAAGGAUGACUGCCCUAUGGGUUGUAAACUUCUUUUAUAAAGGAAUAAAGUCGGGUAUGGAUACCCGUUUGCAUGUACUUUAUGAAUAAGGAUCGGCUAACUCCGUGCCAGCAGCCGCGGUAAUACGGAGGAUCCGAGCGUUAUCCGGAUUUAUUGGGUUUAAAGGGAGCGUAGAUGGAUGUUUAAGUCAGUUGUGAAAGUUUGCGGCUCAACCGUAAAAUUGCAGUUGAUACUGGAUAUCUUGAGUGCAGUUGAGGCAGGCGGAAUUCGUGGUGUAGCGGUGAAAUGCUUAGAUAUCACGAAGAACUCCGAUUGCGAAGGCAGCCUGCUAAGCUGCAACUGACAUUGAGGCUCGAAAGUGUGGGUAUCAAACAGGAUUAGAUACCCUGGUAGUCCACACGGUAAACGAUGAAUACUCGCUGUUUGCGAUAUACUGCAAGCGGCCAAGCGAAAGCGUUAAGUAUUCCACCUGGGGAGUACGCCGGCAACGGUGAAACUCAAAGGAAUUGACGGGGGCCCGCACAAGCGGAGGAACAUGUGGUUUAAUUCGAUGAUACGCGAGGAACCUUACCCGGGCUUAAAUUGCAGAUGAAUUACGGUGAAAGCCGUAAGCCGCAAGGCAUCUGUGAAGGUGCUGCAUGGUUGUCGUCAGCUCGUGCCGUGAGGUGUCGGCUUAAGUGCCAUAACGAGCGCAACCCUUGUUGUCAGUUACUAACAGGUUCCGCUGAGGACUCUGACAAGACUGCCAUCGUAAGAUGUGAGGAAGGUGGGGAUGACGUCAAAUCAGCACGGCCCUUACGUCCGGGGCUACACACGUGUUACAAUGGGGGGNNNNNNNNNNACGGCCCUUACGUCCGGGGCUACACACGUGUUACAAUGGGGGGUACAGAGGGCCGCUACCACGCGAGUGGAUGCCAAUCCCCAAAACCUCUCUCAGUUCGGACUGGAGUCUGCAACCCGACUCCACGAAGCUGGAUUCGCUAGUAAUCGCGCAUCAGCCACGGCGCGGUGAAUACGUUCCCGGGCCUUGUACACACCGCCCGUCAAGCCAUGGGAGCCGGGGGUACCUGAAGUGCGUAACCGCGAGGAGCGCCCUAGGGUAAAACUGGUGACUGGGGCUAAGUCGUAACAAGGUAGCCGUACCGGAAGGUGCGGCUGGAACACCUCCUUUCU